Molecule: long non-coding RNA, 4023 nt
Organism: Zeugodacus cucurbitae (melon fly)
Lineage: Eukaryota; Metazoa; Arthropoda; Insecta; Diptera; Tephritidae
Exons: 2
Source: RefSeq, a predicted model, not a curated record
AUUGAUAUAAUACACAUGUAGAUAUAUGUAUGAACAUAUGUAUGUUUAUGUGCAUAUACAAUUUUCUAUAUCACUUACCACAGAAUAUAUUUCUAACUGUCUCAACAUCGCUAUAAAAUCACCAAUUCCUUUCAACUUUUAUAAUGUCUACCAGUUCUCACACAUUAUUACCCAUUUUGUAUGUCAUGAGAAUAUUCACAAAUUACCGUUAAAAUAUUGCAAAUGUUUGAUAUGAAACAAUAAAAUGCUAACAAUACUAAUUGAACUCUCCUAUUUCACCUAUUUACUUAUCACUUGUUUCACCUACAGAAAUUAUGAUAUUAUCAGUUAAAAACACUGACGUUAGCCUAAAAUAUUGGUCUCGAUAUUGAUCUUACUGCAAACAUUAGAUAUUAUCUACACAUAUAUAUAUAAAAAUUUCAUGUUACUUUGUUUGUCCGGGAUUGGCACCUAAUCUACUGAACCGAUCUUAAUGAAAUUUUGCACAUGACUGCAGUUUGGUUCAACUUAAGAGAUAGGAUAGUUUAUAUUUCAAAUUUUAGUCGCAAUGUCCAUCCGUCUGUCCAUUCGGCCAAUCGGUCAAGCGAUACUUUGAAUUGAAAUCUGGAUAUCUUAAUAAAACUUUCGUCUGUUCGGUAGGCCAUUUGGUCAAGCAAUAAUUUAAUCUGAAUAGCCUAAUAUAACUAGGCUCAUACCUAAACCUAGAUACUAUGAGAAGGUUGGUAUUAUUGAUGGCCAAAAUGCGACUUCUGCAAAGACUAAAAAAUAGUAGUUAAACAAAAAGGAAUAAUACAAAGCUACAAAUUCGGAACAUAUGAUCUAGGUACGGAAGGGCAUAUGUAUGUGGUUAAUUGUUUGAUAAAUUGGCGAGAAAAAAAACCAAAGAGAGAGUUUUGGUAUAUUUAUCGCAAACCACGGAAAACUUGAAAAGUAGUGGGGUCUUCUUAAGAUAGUAGACAAAGGCUUCACUAAAAAAAUAGACAUUGCAAGUAACACUAUCCACUACUCUUUGACCGCUUUUGACAAUGAGAAUAACGCAUGUGCAAAACAUUUUAUGGCGAAAUGUUGAAAUACUUCAAUCGGAUACCGCUUCAAAUCUAUUCCUCAGCACAAAUAUUAUAAUUGGGAGCAGUGGAAUAGAACUACAACCAAAAACAACAUAAUCUGCAAGACAAUUUAUGACCUAUUGUUCACGACAAAAAUUAAUUAAUUGAGAUGCAAAUACAAAACAACUAUAUAUAUAAAUAAUACUUGGGUCAUAACUGAUUUAGUAAUCUCGAUACUUUGGCAGAAAAAGAUGUUGACAACAUUAACUUCAAGAUACAGCAAUUACUAUAAAAUUUUGUCUAUAUUUUUAAAUAAUUGGUUGCUCCCUAAAUAAUUUCACUUUAUCAAAUAGCUAACCAGAAGAUAAUUUAUACAUAUGUACAUAUACCUUAUCCACAGCGAUGCGUGGCCCGGCCAUUAGUUAAUUAUAAAUCAGAUGUUCAAUUUUGGAAAAUCGUAUCGCCAUGAAUGUGAUUAAGCGUUCUUUCUCUAAGUAUGAGUAUUUAUAUACUUCCCGUCUAAAACAAAACAAAAAAAAAAUAAUCCAAAAAUAUCUACAUAUAUGUUUAGUCAAUUGACAUUGUUGGAAUCAUUACUUUUUUCACCAGCUUCAUCAUCAGUAUUAUGUUCAUCAUCAAGUUCAACCCUCUUUUUUUAGAAGGGCAGACUUCUAAACUUAAGUCUUUUCUAAACUAGGCUUUUAUACAAACUUUUGUACACAAAACAGCAAUAAGUUGAUUUAAUGGAUUAAAAGAAUCCACAAAAUAAUUUUGGACGGCGGUAAAGUGCAGUUGAUCAAGAUAACUAACAUUUUACGAUAUAUACUUACAGAUUGGAUAUGUAUUUGGAUAUGCUAUUUCUAUGAAAAAUUUAAUGUAAACCCGAUUUUUCCGUCUGUACGUGACAAUGAAGGAAAAAAAUUCCAUCAUGUCACACCAAAGUGCAAUCAUCCAAUAUAACUUAACAAUGAUAACAAUAGCUAAUAUGGAUUGGGCUUCCAAUAACUUUUGUAUUCUCCAAAUUCUGCCUUCAGGCCUAUCUUUUUCCAAACAAAAUCAAACUCUAAUAUGUAAGGAAGGACUAAGAUCGGGUAUAAUCGAACAUUUUAUACUCUGACAAUUUAUUUAUUUAAUGUUUUUAGAUAACACACCAUUCGACCCAUAUACUAGGCAUAAAGACCUUUUAAAUUAAAAUAAUUACUUAUACAUAUGUAUAUAGUAUAUGGGGCUGGACUAUUUUGCCACCAAGCUAUAUUAUAUGUUCAAUUAAUUUUGUUAAGGUAUCUCACUUAUUUCUCGAUAUAUAGGGUAAUAAAUCCUUCGAGAAGUGUGAAAAUCCAUUUAUCAGGCAUCUGGUUAAGAGCCUCCGCUUAAGUGCCUAUCCCGCUUAAGUGACUGUAAUAUUUAGGCCACAAAUACAAAAUUGUUUGCAAUUUUUCUCUUUUAAGUGCAUUUUAAUAUUUAUGACAUUGAAUACGCUGAGAAUUGUCAAAAGGAAAACACAUAUAUAGUUUUAUAAUGUUUUUUUUUUUCAUAUUUAUUGUUAUUAAUAAGUAUAUUUGUACAUAUUAAUAAAAAAUAAAUGUAACGUUCAUUCUAAAAGAAAAAAUAUUGGAUCGAAGUAUUUGAGAAAAAGCUUAGUGAGUACCUCGAGGCACUUAAGCGGGAUUAAUUACCCUUUCCCGCUUAAGUGUCCUAAAAAUUUUGCAUGUUAAGAAGGGGCACUUAAGCGGGGAUUACUGUAUAUUAAUUUUUACUCAAGAAAAGUAUAUUGUCAAAACAUUUGUAGUGCUACUAUAAUAAUGCGCAGAAGUCUUAUUUAUUUUUGGUUAGGCUCUAACUCCUUCAUUAUUUUUUUAUUUAUUAUAUUCAUAGAUAUUUGUAUGUAUUCGCAUAUACUAUACACAAACCGUGCAUUACCAAGCCAAGCAUAUAAUAACGGCACAUUCGAUGUACAUAUACAUAUGUAUGUAUUUCUAAAUAAGAGUAUAUUAUGUUGUGAAUAAGGAAAUCGAAUGCUGGCUUACUUAACAGGUUUAGCUGCUUUAAACUCUUAAACAAAAUAAAAAAAUUGAAGAAAUGAGGAAGUAAAUUUCUCAGACUUGAUUUACACUUUGCUGGUGUAAAGUGUACAAAUUUGUGUAUGCAUACACAUACUAUUUCAUUGAAAUUGUGCACAAGAGCGAAAGUUUUUAAACAUCUCGGUAUUGAAAUUGUUCAAUAGUAGUUCGAUAUUAUAAAUCAAUAUUUAAGUAUUACGGGCAAGAAUAAUUCAUGUAAGUAAAAUAAUUGAAUCUCCACAAAGUCUUUUAAAAUGCCCUGCUAGUUUAUGAAUUUAACAGCCUAACUUGGAAGCCAACAAUAGCUGACGACAGCUAAAGAAAGCGAGCGUGAAUCGUAAAUUCACUGAGCAAAACACAAAAGGCACCACCACAGCGCUUGUCGGUCUAAUCGUUGGCUAGCUACGAAGCUCAGAGUGAGUUUAGGCAAACUAGUGAAGUAUUGCAAGCAUUUUUGUGCAAAAGACUACUGUUUCCAAGUGCAAAAUAUAUAUCUCCAAAAAUACUAUCAGUUGUAUGGAAGUAAAUAAUAUUGAAACAAAAAUUUUUAUAGGGUCUCGAAAAUAAUUUCACAAUAUCUGAAAUAGCUAAUAACCACAUAAAUUGGAAUCAAUUUUAACGUUCACCAAUACAUGUAAAAUAUAAAGAGAAUUCCAAGCGAAACGAUAUCGCGAGACAGUAUGUUACUAAUAUCAACGUUGGACGGCAAUUGGGAAAAACUAAUAGUCCUCAACCAUGUUAAUUUAACGUAUAGUCAAUGUCUUUGGACGCAGUGAAGCUGACGAUGACGAUUCGAGUGAAUAUGAAGAGGAUAUCUACUAUGAAGAUUUAUAUAAUAAUUACGAACGAUGGACGCGAAGACAAAUGCGCUAUCGGCAUCAAUUGCGGCGUCAAGAACAAGAAAUCUUAAGUCAAUU